GGUCAGGGAGGAAAGAAACAGACAAAGAAAGGGAAGAGAAUAAACAAGAACAAAUAUAUGUCAGAGGCAGUCGUCAAGAUGUGUCCUUAAUAAACAUCCUUCUAAUGCAACGGUGCCAUCCCGCUAAUGGUGCCUCUGUCACCUCUCUGUGGGGCGCUGAUGAGGCUUUCAUGGGGACGCGUCUGGCCAGGGCUGCCUGGAUGAUGGGCCUGGACUGAAAGGAUGGGCAGAGUUUGCGGAUGAAGCGACGCUAAUGAACUUUUCUGGGAAAGGAGUGGACGUGGAGGCGGGCCGAGUCAGCCAUGCGUUAGAGCCUUGAGCGGCGUCCGCAAACACACAUCGCUGUUUGAGAUGCCGCUCCUCAUUUGGAAAUAUGAAGUCUUAAUCAUCCCAGCGGGAGUCCAGCCGGCUGCUGUCCCAUGAUUCCAUUUGUGUGGAUCGCUGGCGCAUUUAAGUGUCAGCCAUGAUGGCUUGCCACGCCUACCAAGACACCCACUGCAAGGAGGAAAGGGGCUCGUCAGUCUCUCUCUUAUAACAAUGCAGAACACCGUGAUGAGAAGUGAGAAUGAGCAGAACCCUGACUAUUGACUCUAUGGGCUAAGCGCUAAACACACUAAAGAUAUAGUAGAGAUCAAAUAUACUGCUUCAAGAUGUGCAAUACAUCGUUUACAGGACAUCACUCUAUACUUGUCUGGGGAAUUGAGACUUUGGCCUUUUUGGGUCUCCACCAUCACAUUCUGUCUGUCU
This is a long non-coding RNA of Clupea harengus (Atlantic herring), 747 nucleotides long. RefSeq lists it as uncharacterized. The record is from RefSeq and is a predicted model, not a curated record. Lineage: Eukaryota; Metazoa; Chordata; Actinopteri; Clupeiformes; Clupeidae.